Molecule: long non-coding RNA, 6428 nt
Filed under: Salmo salar (Atlantic salmon)
Lineage: Eukaryota; Metazoa; Chordata; Actinopteri; Salmoniformes; Salmonidae
Description: lncRNA (ENSSSAG00000085757.1)
Source: RNAcentral
UUUUAACCCUGUGACCACGUGGAAUUGUCUCUGCAACCAUGCAGAAUUAAGGCAUAAAAAAUAGACAUUCAUCCAUGAGUCAAAAGGCAGUGGGCCUGACUCAAACUCAAUGCCGACCCUGACAUACUGUAUGUGUGCAAGGUUGUGCUGAGCGACUAGUGCUUUUUGAGGUUGGUUGGGUUUUGUUUAGAUUUAGUUUGAGAAUUUUAGUUAAAUGUGACCCGUUUCAGGCAACUAGGCAUAUGUUGCAAGUCAUGAGUUCACAGGAGAGCCAUUUCAAUGUUUUUUAACAUUUUUCAAAUUGAGUUUUUUUUACAGAACUAUAAGGCUAUUUUAGCUGGUCAGUCUGUUGGUAAUCCUGUCGAAUGCGGGUUAAUUUAAAAUAUAUCGUGUAGUAGCAUAUGCGUUGCUCUCCACUUUCUGGAGGAUCUUGUUUUGAAAUCAGUGGAAUUAGAGUAUUGAUAGUUGAAGAGAUGGAGGAAACGCCUGUCUCCGGAUUAAAUCUUGUAAUUAAGGGCAACCGUGGCAUGGCAUCUGCGACAGGGAGACGCGUCCAUCACGCAUGGUGUAUUCGGUAACAGGUAGUGAACCAGUUCUCUCUGAAGCAAGAGGAGGAGGUCAGGUUCAUCAGAUGGUCACCACAACCUAAACUCACCUGGAGAAACGAAGAGGGGACAGAGAUAAAAUAAUGAACAACAAGUACACAACACCUCUGAUCCUCAGGGCUUGGUGAGUGUCAGUAGUUGGCUGCUGUACUCUCCCUCAGAUUCUGAUUGGCUCUCCUGUACAGUCUCUCUGUCGGAGGAGAAGAAAGAGACUGGAGACCAGCCCCAUGUAUACAGAAAUCGUAAUACACAGCAACAUUUGUCAAUUGAUGAAAGAGCCUUCAUUACGUCUGUGAUCAUUUACCGCUAGUCGCCUCUACUGCUAUCGGGCUCUUCAUCUGGAACAGAAAAACAGGCAUGUCAACAAGAUAAUAAAAUGAAUAGCAAUGCCAAAUGCAAUUACAAUGUUUUAAAUGAGAAGUCUAUAUUGAUGGUCUAGUAAUGGUAGAACUGACUGAUUGGAAUGUUAAUAGGGUGAGAGAGUCUAUCAUCUCCACAUAUACACUGCGUGCACAAUUAGUAGGCAAAUUGUAUUCCUCAGGAUUCAGUUUAUUGCUGAACAAACUCGGUGCUCUCAGUCAAUCCAAAAUGUUACUGAACCUCAAACCUGAAUGUUUAACAAAGGAAAAGUGAGUUUUGUCUUUCUCAGGGGAAUAUAUGUGUGCACAAUUAUUAGGCAACAAAAUUACAGAAAUAAUUUCGCCCAACUCGCUUGUUUAUUCUACAUUUUUAGAGUAAGUGUGUCAUAAAAUAGAUCUGCAGGAGGGGUGAAGUCAAGCGCAGGAGACUCAGGUACGUGAAACACGUUUUAAUGAAGAAGUCAAGUCCAAAGAACCGAACUGACAAGGCAGGGUAAAAAUGAUUCCAUAAAAGACAAAACACAGUCUAGGAAAGUAGCGGGACGCAGCCCAGCAACCCAAAUGCCAAGACACGUAACGGUAAAAAAAGGGCAAGAAAAAAUAAAUCCCCAACCUACAAUAACAGAGACGAAACAACCCCAAACACAAAACAGACAGACUAAAUACCCCACUAAUUACUAAACACAAAACAAGUGCAACACUAACCAGACAUUACCAAACGGAUAAGGAAAUUGGUGGCAGCUAGUAGGACGACGAGUGCCGCCCGACCGGAGAGAGGCGCCACCUUCUGUGGACGUUGUGACAAAGUAACAAAUAAGUAACACAAUAUAGCCACCCUUGUCAACGGCCAUGAGCCUUCCAUCCAUGGAGUCUGUCAGUUUCUUGAUCUGUGUGUGUGUGUGUGAGAGAGAGAUUUUCACAUUGGACACCGGACAGGAUAAAUACUCCAGAUAUAACAGACUGACCCUAGCCCCCUGACAUACCCCUCCUCCACCUUGCUAAUUCUUCUCAAGUCUUUUGCAGUUCAUUUGCGCCCUUUUCCUCUCCAUGCUUUUUUUGGACAAAACGUUUGAUUGUCAGGUGGAAACGCCUCAAUAGUUUAGCUAUUUCAAGUGUUGCUUCCGUCUGAAAGACAUUUUACAAUUUUGGACUUUUCAGUGUCAGCUAAAUCUCUUUUUUUGGCCCAUUUUACCCGAGGCAAUGAAGCUGCCUAAUAAUUAUGCACACCUUGAUAUAAAGUGUUAUUCACUUCCACCACACCCUCCCUCAUUACACAAGAAAAUGAUUAAAUCCAAGAAGCAUUCAAGUUUAUAUGGUUUGGAGUUGAAAAUGUGCGUAGAAAUAAGGAUAAGAUCAGAAUACUCACUUGCCUAAUAAUUGUGCACGCAGUGUAUAUAUCAAAUUGUAUUUGUCACAUCCACCGAAUACAACAGGUGUAGACCUUACAGUGAAAUGCUUACAAGCCCUUAACCAACAAUGCAGUUGUAAGAAAAAUAAGUGUUAAACUCUCCUCUGAAAGUGAACAAAUUGAAGAUGUAUUAUAGAUUUUGUUUGCAAAUUUCACUGUGAUAUUCUCGGUUGCAUGUCUUAUGAGUGUCGACAAAUAGCGAUGCAUGUUGUGUAUCUGUGUUCGGCUGACUGGAAAGAAGCCUUUAUUGUGACGUUGGUCCUGUUUUUGGCCAUCUAUGGUCUUCAUCCUGUACAAACAGAGGUAUAGAACUCCAAAAUAUUAGCGGUUUAUGAAUCAUAGCAGCAAUAUAUGACAGUAAUACCAACCCUAUACAGAAAGGUGGCGAACAUAUUUAAUUAAACAAUAACAUAUUUGGGAUUUUAGUCCAGAAACAGUGCAGGUAGUGUAUUUAAUCUGAUCUGUGUGAUAAAUAAACUAAGCGUAAGAUAUGCGUUAUGAAAUAACAUGAGCCGUGAUUGCUCUUAUUUUGACAUGAUUGCGUCUCUAUAUUUCAGAUCAAACUCAGUUGGUAAGAUGCCAGCAGCUAACUGUUUCAUUCUGAUCUCUGGGUGAAAUGCUAACAUAAGAUACAUGAGACAUUUUUUUAGGAAACCUUCCAAAUACACAAAUGAUGAUAUACACAUAUCUCAAUAGUAUUUGACUCUCCUUGUUACUUAAUUCCCCUUUUACAAUAACCUUCACCUUUUUCCAUUCUACAGAGACAAAACAAUGACUAGAAGCCAAUGUUCACUAUCAUGAUAUAAGGCAAUCAUAUAACUUGUUGAGCUCUUAUCUUACAAUGUCUUUUAACUUGAUAAGCAAUUUUGACCUAGUUUGUAUCAGUCACUUAUAUAUGAUAAUGAAUGGCAAGAUAAUGACCUAAAUGUAUUCUGUUGGGGGCAGAAAACACAGUGCAGACACCUAUUGAACAGAUAACAGCUGGUAAAGAACAGUAAUGGGGAGAAAACAUUUCAUUUCUCAGUCUAAAUUGGAACUAUAAUUGACAGUGUUUGCAGUGUUCAUAAAAAAUGUUUCCUGACAUUUCAGAGUGAGUUAAAUCGUAAACUAUGCACUUUAAAUAGUAAUAAACCAUACAAAGUUUGAAAAAAAAUUAAAAACAAGUCGCUUACUAAAAGGGAUAGUUCACACCAAAAUUACACUUUGGUUUCUAUACCCUGCAAGCAGUCUAUGGACAAGAUAUGACAGCAAACCAUGCUUUGGUUUAGUUGCACUGUUUCUAUAUGCUUUCCCCCCCCCAAAAGUAUCUCGAAUUGAUUACAUAGCUCAACAAAGUCACUUAUAGAUGAUUUGAAAAUGGUAACAUAAAAUGCUGAUAUCAGUCCCAUGACUUGAAUGGGAUUUGUGCCACAAAAUGUUAGCAUAUGGAAACUGUGCCAGGGAAACUAAACCAAAGUAUGGAUUAAUGUCAUACCUUGUCUAUAGACUGCUUACAGGGUAAGGACAGCAAUAUAUCAUUUUGUAAUUUGGAUGAAUUAUCCCUUUAAUAUUUUUUCAUGCAGAUUAACACCAGGUGAAAUGAUUUAAAGGUAAGAAAAAACACUGUAGGAUAGGAUAAUAAGUAUGUAUUAGUUUAUAACAUAUUUAUACAACGGGUGGGUCUAAUCCUGGAUGCUGAUUGGUUAAAACUGAGUUCCAGACUGGUGUCUUUUCCACAAGUUACCACCCGCUAAGGCUAUGAAGUUGAAAUGCCCAUUCACUAUUCCAUCUGACAGUGCAAUCCACUGUCUCAUUAGCCCAGCCAGGCAAUUUAUAAACUUGUUCUUUACUGUAAAAAGCAUCUAGCCAUUAUCACCCAUGUCUUCUAGACUAGCAUUUGUAUUAUCCUGUCUGUCUCUCUGACAUUUCCAACAUUGUUUCAGUAUUCAAAUUCGAUCUCCAGCUGUCCCAUAGUAACAGACAGACAGGCUGUCAACUUUUCUCAGCCAAUCGAAAUCUGGAAUCAGCAUAAUUUUUAUGGAUAUGUACAAAAAAAAGGUCAAAAUAAAAUCCCAGAAUGCAGCUAAUUUGCUGUCAUUCCAGCUUCAGUUUGAAGUGAUUGUUUUAGCUGUGUAGUUGGCUAGCUCCUCUGAACAUUGUCCUGAUGAGAGACCAUAUUUUCUAUGCCAGGUGAAAUCUCCCAUCAUUAGUUCAUUGUUAAAAAAUAAUCACUAGAAAACAGCUUAACCAAACCCAAAUAAAUUGAUCUAGAAAUACCAAUCAAUUUUGAGGAGAGACAAGGUCAAUCACCAAUCAGGAUAUUACUUAAUUCAAAACGUAUUAAUAACAUUGAUUCAUUGUUUCAAUAAUGAAGAUGGUCAACAAACCACCUCUAGAUGAUUCGUUGAGAGCCCAAUGAGCGGAUUUGAGCCACAGCAUUUUAUAGCAAAGUACAUCCACCUGAAUGUUCAUGACAACCAACAGAUGUAUGGAAUGAGUCACAAGGUUAGGAUUUGUAUGAAAGAUACUAAUAAUUCACAGCAGACAGUAUUUGUUGUAAAGACUGUUCUCAUUAUGUAGAAACCCAUACUCGAGCGAUCUCUCUGUGGUACCUUCCAGCACACAAACAUCAACUCUUGCUAUAGAAUGCGGUCUUUAGUUUUUUAUCACCAAAGGCAUCAUAAACCUCCAGACGAGCUUCAAUGCCAUACAACUCCUUCCGUGGCCUCCAACUGCUCUUAAAUGUCAAGUAAAACCAAAUGCAUGCUCUUCAACCGAUCGCUGCCCGCACCUGCCCCGCCCGUCUAGCAUCACUACUCUGGACGGUUCUGACUUAGAAUAUGUGGGCAACUACAAAUACCUAGGUGUCGGGUUAGACUGUAAACUCCAGACUCACAUUAAGCAUCUCCAAUCCAAAAUUAAAUCUAGAAUCGGCUUCCUAUUUCACAACAAAGCAUCCUUCACUCAUGCUGACAAACAUACCCUUGGAAAACUGACUAGCCUACCGAUCCUUGACUUCGGCGAUGUCAUUUACAAAAUAGCCUCCAACACUCUACUCAACAAAUUGGAUGCAUUCUAUCACAGUGCCAUCCAUUUUGUCACCAAAGCCCCAUAUACUACCCACCACUGUGACCUGUAUGCUCUCGUUGGCUGGCCCUCGCUUCACAUUCGUCGCCAAACCCACUGGCUCCAGGUCAUCUAUAAGUCUUUGUUAGGUAAAGCCCCGCCUUAUCUCAGCUCACUGGUCACCAUAGCAGCACCCACCCGUAGCACACGCUCCAGCAGGUAUAUUUCACUGGUCACCCCAAAGCCAAUUCCUCAUUUGGCCGCCUUUCCUUCCAGUUCUCUGCUGCCAAUGACUGGAACGAAUUGCAAAAAUCACUGAAGCUGGAGACUCGUAUCUCCCUCACUAAUAUUAAGCACCAGCUGUCAGAGCAGCUUACAGAUCAUUACACCUGUACAUAGCCCAUCUAUAAAUAUAUAUAUAUAUCCUGUUGGGGCUAGGGGGCAGUAUUGAGAAUUUUGAAAAAAAUAUGUGCCCAUUUUUAACUGCCUCCUACACCAACUCAGAAGGUAGGAUAUGCAUAUUAUUAACAGAUUUGGAUAGAAAACACUCUGAAUUUUCUAAAACUGUUUGAAUGGUGUCUAAGUAUAACAAAACUCAUAUGGCAGGCAAAAACCUGAGAAAAAAAAAAAAUAUUGUGGCUGUACUAUUUUUUUUUUUGAGUCAUUGUUAUUAGAUACCACAGUGAGAAAGGAUUCAUUUCGCACUUCCUACGGCUUCCACUAGAUGUCAACGAUCUUUAUAAAGUUGUUUGAAGCGUCUAUGAUGAACAGAGACCGGAUGACAAGGAAGAGAAUUUGACCUCCCUAAGAUGUCGUCACUUCAUUAUUGGCUGCACCUGCGCAAUCAUUGCGAUACAUUUUUCAAAUACGCUUUUCAAGACACAGGAGAGGUCGGGUUGAAACAUUACUGAUGUUUCACGUUAAAAAUGGCUCUAAAGAUUGAUGCUAAACAACGUUUGACAUGUUUGAACGAACGUAAAUAGAUUAUUUUUUUUACUUUUCGCCGUGACU